UACGUAGGUGGCAAGCGUUAUCCGGAAUUACUGGGCGUAAAGCGCACGCAGGCGGUCUUUUAAGUUUGACGUGAAAGCUCCCGGCUUAACUGGGAGAGGUCGUUGAAUACUGGAAGACUUGAGGCAAUGAGAGGGGUGUAGAAUUCCCGGUGUAGUGGUGGAAUGCGUAGAUAUCGGGGGGAAUACCAGUGGCGAAGGCGGGUCUCUGGGCAACAACUGACGCUGAGGAGCGAAAGCGCGGGGAGCGAACAGG
This 253-nucleotide ribosomal RNA is filed under the name uncultured bacterium. RNAcentral's name for it is "partial 16S ribosomal RNA". It matches the Rfam family "Bacterial small subunit ribosomal RNA", at positions 524 to 776 of the family's 1533-position model. The record is from RNAcentral.